AUUGAACGCUGGCGGCAGGCUUAACACAUGCAAGUCGAGCGGGGGAAGGUAGCUUGCUACCGGACCUAGCGGCGGACGGGUGAGUAAUGCUUAGGAAUCUGCCUAUUAGUGGGGGACAACAUCUCGAAAGGGAUGCUAAUACCGCAUACGUCCUACGGGAGAAAGCAGGGGAUCUUCGGACCUUGCGCUAAUAGAUGAGCCUAAGUCGGAUUAGCUAGUUGGUGGGGUAAAGGCCUACCAAGGCGACGAUCUGUAGCGGGUCUGAGAGGAUGAUCCGCGACACUGGGACUGAGACAAGGCCCAGACUCCUACGGGAGGCAGCAGUGGGGAAUAUUGGAAAAUGGGGGGAACCCUGAUCCAGCCAUGCCGCGUGUGUGAAGAAGGCCUUAUGGUUGUAAAGCCCUUUAAGCGAGGAGGAGGCUACUUUAGUUAAUACCUAGAGAUAGUGGACGUUACUCGCAGAAUAAGCACCGGCUAACUCUGUGCCAGCCGCCGCGGUAA
This 501-nucleotide ribosomal RNA is filed under the name uncultured bacterium. Its description in RNAcentral is "partial 16S ribosomal RNA". It matches the Rfam family "Bacterial small subunit ribosomal RNA", at positions 30 to 523 of the family's 1533-position model. The record is from RNAcentral.